UGGGUAAUGAAUCAUAAAAUUGACUGAAUUAUUUCUUCUUUUUUAGGGGAGAAGAAUACGUAAGUCUGUCUUUCUCACCUUGAGAACUUCAGCAUUGAGCCAUCAUUUUGUGCCACAGGAUAAUUUUGAAGCCAAUAAUAAGACUCUGCAUUACAGUUUGUGUGUUAGCAGCCAGCAAUUUCUGUGAGAAAUUACAAGUGCUUAAACAAAGCAAUAAUGAGUUCUUGUGACAAAAUUCACCAUCAUCAGCAAUGAACAAUAUAAAAACUGCCCUUGGAAAUAUGCACCUCACUUGACACACAACCUGAA
This 309-nucleotide long non-coding RNA is filed under the name Coturnix japonica (Japanese quail). RNAcentral's name for it is "lncRNA (ENSCJPG00005003309.1)". Lineage: Eukaryota; Metazoa; Chordata; Aves; Galliformes; Phasianidae. The record is from RNAcentral.